RNAcentral lists this ribosomal RNA (424 nucleotides) under uncultured bacterium. Its description in RNAcentral is "partial 16S ribosomal RNA". It matches the Rfam family "Bacterial small subunit ribosomal RNA", at positions 360 to 776 of the family's 1533-position model. The record is from RNAcentral.
AAUUUUGUACAAUGGGGGAAACCCUGAUCCAGCCAUCCCGUUUGUAUGAAGAAGUCCUUCGGGUUGUAACGUAUGUUUGGGAGAGAAGAAAAGUUAUUCACUAAUACGUGAUACUACCUACGGCAUCUGUAGAAUAAGCACCGUACAACUAUUACCCAGCAGCCGCGGUAAUACGUAGGGUGCAACCGUUAAUCGGAAUUACUGGGCGUAAAGCGUGCGCAGGCGGUUCGGCAAGAAGGAUGUGAAAUCCCAGGGCUUAACCUUGGAACUGCAUUCUUAACUCCCGGGCUAGAGUAUGUCCGAGGGGGGUAGAAUUCCGCGUGUAGCAGUGAAAUGCGUAGAGAUGCGGAGGAAUACCGAUGGCGAAGGCAGCACCCUAGGAUAAUACUGACGCACAGACACGAAAGCGUGGGGAGCAAACAGG